Non-coding RNA from Podarcis lilfordi (Lilford's wall lizard), 77 nucleotides. The record is from the annotation of a GenBank genome assembly. Lineage: Eukaryota; Metazoa; Chordata; Lepidosauria; Squamata; Lacertidae.
GCUUCAGUUGACAGCUCGGCUGAUAGAGGAUGAGGCUCUUAAUCUCAGGGUCGUGUGUUUGAGCCCCACAUUGGGCA